UGGGGAAUUUUGGACAAGGGGGGAAACCCUGAUCCAGCCAUCCCGCGUGUGCGAUGAAGGCCUUCGGGUGGUAAAGCACUUUUGGCAGGAAAGAAACGUCAUGGGUUAAUACCCCGUGAAACUGACGGUACCUGCAGAAUAAGCACCGGCUAACUACGUGCCAGCAGCCGCGGUAAUACGUAGGGUGCAAGCGUUAAUCGGAAUUACUGGGCGUAAAGCGUGCGCAGGCGGUUCGGAAAGAAAGAUGUGAAAUCCCAGAGCUCAACUUUGGAACUGCAUUUUUAACUACCGGGCUAGAGUGUGUCAGAGGGAGGUGGAAUUCCGCGUGUAGCAGUGAAAUGCGUAGAUAUGCGGAGGAACACCGAUGGCGAAGGCAGCCUCCUGGGAUAACACUGACGCUCAUGCACGAAAGCGUGGGGAGCAAACAGG
This 429-nucleotide ribosomal RNA is filed under the name Acidobacteriota bacterium. RNAcentral describes it as "Acidobacteria bacterium partial 16S ribosomal RNA". It matches the Rfam family "Bacterial small subunit ribosomal RNA", at positions 355 to 776 of the family's 1533-position model. Lineage: Bacteria; Pseudomonadati; Acidobacteriota. The record is from RNAcentral.